CCUACGGGUGGCAGCAGUGGGGAAUAUUGGACAAUGGGGGGAACCCUGAUCCAGCGACGCCGCGUGAGUGAAGAAGUAUUUCGGUAUGUAAAGCUCUAUCAGCAGGGAAGAAAAUGACGGUACCUGACUAAGAAGCCCCGGCUAACUACGGGCCAGCAGCCGCGGUAAUACGUAGGAGGCGAGCGUUAUCCGGAAUGACUGGGCGUAAAGGGGUCGUAGGGGGGUUGGCAAGUUAGGAGCGUAACUCCAAGGCUCAACCUUGGAACUACUACUAAAACUGUUGGACUUGAGUGCAGGAGGGGCAACCGGAAUUCCUAGUGUAGCGGUGGAAUGCGUAGAUAUUAGGAGGAACACCAGUGGCGAAGGCGGGUUGCUAGACUGUAACUGACACUGAGGCACGAAAGCGUGGGGAGCAAACAGGAUUAGAUACCCUUGUAGUC
Molecule: ribosomal RNA, 440 nt
Filed under: uncultured bacterium
Lineage: Bacteria
Description: partial 16S ribosomal RNA
Rfam family: Bacterial small subunit ribosomal RNA
Source: RNAcentral